UACGGGGGGGAGCAAGCGUUGUUCGGAUUUACUGGGCGUAAAGGGCGCGUAGGCGGCGUGACAAGUCACUUGUGAAAUCUCCGGGCUUAACUCGGAACGGUCAAGUGAUACUGUCGUGCUAGAGUACAGAAGGGGCAACUGGAAUUCUCGGUGUAGCGGUGAAAUGCGUAGAUAUCGAGAGGAACACCUGCGGCGAAGGCGAGUUGCUGGGCUGAUACUGACGCUGAGGCGCGAAAGCUAGGGGAGCGAACGGG
Molecule: ribosomal RNA, 254 nt
Filed under: uncultured bacterium
Lineage: Bacteria
Description: partial 16S ribosomal RNA
Rfam family: Bacterial small subunit ribosomal RNA
Source: RNAcentral